This is a long non-coding RNA of Hydra vulgaris (swiftwater hydra), 558 nucleotides long. RefSeq lists it as uncharacterized. Lineage: Eukaryota; Metazoa; Cnidaria; Hydrozoa; Anthoathecata; Hydridae. The record is from RefSeq and is a predicted model, not a curated record.
AAACCUAUCGCUGUAAUUAUAUUAUUUUAUAUUAUAUUUUUUUUAUUUAUCUUAUAUUAUAUUAUAUUUAUUUUUUUGUUUUUUAGAUUGUAGAACCUUAUAAUCCUGAAGACGACCUCCCUGAAGAGGAGAGGCGAAAAAUACAAGAACGAAGAGAAGUUAGAGAAAGAAUACAAAAUUUGUUUUUUAGACCCAUUGCUCCACCACCAGAAGCAAUUGUAGAAGAUGAAGAUGACGAUGAUGAUGAUGAUGAUGAUGAUGAUGAGGAUGAAGUACCAGCAAAUAAUUAUGAAAGGAAUAUACCUGUAGUUUUACCAUCAAUCGAAUCAGUUUGCUUAGGCUGCUGCCUGUGCUUUGCUCCGCUUCGACCACUAAGACCUUGCUGUCAUCAUCGUUGUGGAUCGCUAGGAGCGUGCACAGGUUGUUGCAUAUGCACAACAAAUACAAUUGAGGCGAUAAGAGAAGCUAUGCAGGAAAAAAUAGCUUUUAAAAGACAAUAUUGGGCUAAUCACCCAAUGCAAUAUCAAGAUUGAGGUUUUUUUUUAUUUUUUUAUAUUA